AUUGAACGCUAGCGGGAUGCUUUACACAUGCAAGUCGAACGGAGUGGCGGACGGGUGAGUAGUAUAUCGGCACGUGCCCAGUAGCGGGGGAUAACUACUCGAAAGAGUGGCUAAUCCCGCAUACUAUUGGAGCGGCCGAUAUCGGAUUAGCUAGGUGGUGGGGUAAAGGCUCACCAGGGCAACGAUCCGUAGCUGGUUUGAGAGGACGACCAGCACCACUGGGACUGGUACACGGCCCAGACUCCUACGGUAGGCAGCAGUGGGGAAUUUUGGUCAAUGGGGGAAACCCUGAUCCAGCCAUCCCGCGUGGAGGAUGAAGUCCUUCGGGUUGUAAAGUACUUUUGGCGGAGAAGCGGUAUCUGCAGAAUAAGCACCGGCUAACUACGUGCCAGCAGCCGCGGUAAUUC
Molecule: ribosomal RNA, 407 nt
Filed under: uncultured bacterium
Lineage: Bacteria
Description: partial 16S ribosomal RNA
Rfam family: Bacterial small subunit ribosomal RNA
Source: RNAcentral